Carassius gibelio (silver crucian carp) is the source of this 1025-nucleotide long non-coding RNA. RefSeq lists it as uncharacterized. The transcript has 5 exons. The record is from RefSeq and is a predicted model, not a curated record. Lineage: Eukaryota; Metazoa; Chordata; Actinopteri; Cypriniformes; Cyprinidae.
CGCUGACACGUCUGCUCUAAUGCACCUGAAGGACACAAACACAAACAGUUCUACUGGUUUUAAGGUCUGUACUGUAAACAUACUCAACUAUUAAAAGCUACAUAUUAGCUGGUUCUGUGCUGGUUUAAGAUGGUCAUGUGCUGGCUUAAGCAGGUCAUGUGAUGGCUUAAGCUGGUCAUGUGCUGGUUUAAGAUGGUCAUGUGCUGGUUUAAGCUGGUCAUGUGAUGGCUUAAGCUGGUCAUGUGCUGGUUUAAGAUGGUCAUGUGCUGGUUUAAGCAGGUCAUGUGCUGGUUUAAGCUGGUCAUGUGAUGGCUUAAACUGGUCAUGUGAUGGCUUAAGCUGGUCAUGUGCUGGUUUAAGAUGGUCAUGUGCUGGUUUAAGCAGGUCAUGUGCUGGUUUAAGCUGGUCAUGUGAUGGCUUAAGCUGGUCAUGUGCUGGUUUAAGCUGGUCAUGUGCUGGUUUAAGCAGGUCAUGUGCUGGUUUAAGCUGGUCAUGUGGUGGUUUAAACUGGUCAUGUGCUGGUUUAAGAUGGUCAUGUGCUGGUUUAAGCAGGUCAUGUGCUGGUUUAAGCUGGUCAUGUGCUGGUUUAAGCAGGUCAUGUGCUGUCUUAAACUGGUCAUGUGCUGGUUUAAGCUGGUCAUGUGCUGGCUUAAGAUGACCAUGAGCUGGUUUAAGAUGGUCAUGUGCUGGUUUAAGAUGGUCAUGUGCUGGUUUAAGCAGGUCAUGUGCUGGCUUAAGCAGGUCAUGUGCUGGUUUAAGCAGGUCAUGAGCUGGUUUAAGCAGGUCAUGUGCUGUUUAAGAUGGUCAUGAGCUGGUUUAAGCUGGUCAUGUGCUGGUUUAAGCAGGUCAUGUGCUGGUUUAAGCUGGUCAUGUGCUGGUUUAAGCUGGUCAUGUGCUGGUUUAAGCUGGUCAUGUGCUGGUUUAAGCUGGUCAUGUGCUGGUUUAAGCUGGUCAUGUGCUGGUUUAAGCAGGUCAUGUGCUGGUUUAAACUGGUCAUGUGCUGGUUUAAGAUGGUCAUGUGAUGG